Molecule: ribosomal RNA, 273 nt
Filed under: uncultured bacterium
Lineage: Bacteria
Description: partial 16S ribosomal RNA
Rfam family: Bacterial small subunit ribosomal RNA
Source: RNAcentral
UCGAUAUGGCUUAGCGCUCGUUAGCUGGCUUACCAAGUCUUCGUGUGAAAUCCCCCGGCUUAACCUUGGAACUGCCUUUGAUACUGGUUGCCUCUGAGUGCGGUAGGGGCAUAUGGAAYUCCCGGUGGAGCGGUGAAAUGCGUAGAUAUCUGGAGGAACGCCAGUGGCGAAAGCGCAUCUGCUGGGACCUCUUCUGACGCUGAGGCGCGAAAGCUAGGGGAUCAAACGGGGAUUAGAUACCCCGGUAGUCCUAGCCCUAAACUAUGGGUACUA